Molecule: long non-coding RNA, 1045 nt
Organism: Apus apus (common swift)
Lineage: Eukaryota; Metazoa; Chordata; Aves; Apodiformes; Apodidae
Exons: 3
Source: RefSeq, a predicted model, not a curated record
GGGAGGCCUCGGCCCGGGCCUCCUCGCGAGGGUUCACGAGCCGCCCCUGGAACCGCUGCGUGGCUGUCGCUGCCAGAGCAGCGAAAGUGAUGCUGAAUAGAAGACGAUACAGAGAAACCAGGGAGGCCACAGACACAAAACCAAACGCUCGCCAGCACAGCUGUUCCCUACUUUGACUUAGAGAUUGCGUCUUUACCUCUGUGCACAACGAUACAUGCUGCAGCUGAACAGAUGCAACUGAAAACAGGAAAAUGGCAGUAACUCAGUGAUACUCAAUAGGUAGAGUACUACAUCUCCCAAUUACCCAUUUAAAAUACAUUGAUGCUUGUCUGCCUUUUGUUUAUGUGGGUUUAAAUUGUCACUGAAAUACAUCCUAGUCGUGGGCAUUUGCUUCAUUUCUAGGAAGGGAGCAGCAAAAUGGCCACUUUACACAAAAUAAAAUGCAACUCUUGUAUGUUGACCUUUGCACACGGUGUGUUUUAAGUGACAGUCUGCCUCAGAUCCAACAGAUUAUUUCUAUCCAUGUUCAAUUAUGAAGAAUAUAACGUGUCUACAUAACCCAUAUUAAACAUGUAAAUGUAUCUUUACAUGCUUACUCUUAAAUUAUACUGAGAAAGGGUGAAGUUUUCUUUUCCCUCCUAUUCCUUGAUACACUGCUCAAAUGUGUAUUUAACACCUAUCCAAAUGCAAUGUACAGAAUAACUUAAAAGUUUCAACAUGUAACAUGUAGUGGCUUCUUGACUGGGAGUUCACAUACUCUAUAUUUACAUGUCAUGCAAGUACAGGUAGCACCAUCAAACAUCAUGUCAGUGCACCUCCUGGACACCGUGCCUCUUCAUAUGUUGAGCUAUUUUCUUUUGUGCCAGCCUAAUUACAAAUUUGGUAAUUCUUUCGACUGCAAAAAAAGGGGGAAGUAAUUCCACCAACUAUUGUAUGCAUUUUCUUACUUUUUAUUGUAUUAUCACCUUUGGAGACUCCGGUAAAUUCCACUUAGCCAGCAGCAGUGGAUAAAAUUGGUGGUUUUCAAGUACUGCUUGUUACUAAC